RNAcentral lists this long non-coding RNA (2446 nucleotides) under Apis mellifera (honey bee). RNAcentral's name for it is "uncharacterized LOC102656404". Lineage: Eukaryota; Metazoa; Arthropoda; Insecta; Hymenoptera; Apidae. The record is from RNAcentral.
CAACGUUUCAAAGUUGGUGAUAAGUUGUUAUUGUUCACCAGUCGCCGCGCCACUAUCGUUUUCAUUGUCCUGUUUACGGAUCGUAACUCUCUAUUGAUCAUGUCGAUAUUCCGUUUUAGAGGACAGCUAGCUACAUUCAAAUAAACGAGGAUUAGUAAAUUUAGCAUUUGAUACUUCACGGUUUAACCUUGCCUCGAUUGAUAUUGAGGAAAAUCGGUAAAAUAUAUUAGUCGAUCGAAAAGUAAUUUCAUUUUCUCACACGAGUGUCGCUAAUUGAACGUUUAUCCAGCCAACUUCAUUCUAAACUGUAUUGUUAUAUAUUUUGACACUUCAUAUCUUAUGAUUUAUUUAUAAGAAAAAUUCGUUUGAUUCUGUGUAUGAUUGUGUUUUUCUUAUCUGAUAACAAAAAUGCAAGAUCAAAAGGAGCAUUUUCGGCAUAUUUUACGUUUUUAUAAUCGAAAAGAUGCGCUACGUUCUGGAAGAUCGGUUGAAGUGACGAAGACAAACUAAAGGCAUGGAUUGAAGCAAAUCGACGAAUAAUAACUCGAGAAAUUGCUACGAGAUUGAAUUCGAUUGUUCACGAUCAUGUGAAACGACUGUUUCAUUGUCAUAAGAAAGCGAAAUUAUUUUCCGAACAACUCAAUAUAUGUAUUCAUUUAUAAUUUCAAUUGUUCUUUCGAUACUAUAAUCUAUGUAUAACCUCUUUUUGCAGAAGAUUAACAAAUUUAAAGUUAGUAUAGUAUAUCCAUCAUAUGAGAUACACCGAUAGAUCAAAUCGGGAGUGGAGACCUGGGCAAAAAGAUUAAAGAAGAUUCUUCGUUCAGACUUGGUGCUUAAACUUGUCUCUGAACGCUUUAAUUACGGUGGCGGAUGGCGACAGUGGGAAGAAGUAGAAGAAAGGGCGAGGAACAGGAAAAUAUUGCACGAGGCAACAGGCGUGAAAUUAUUCGCAGGCCGGAAUAGAUCAGAAACAGAAGGAUGCGGGAUAGUUGCUGGAAAAUAAAGGAAAAUGGUGGCCGGCCGGCCGUUUAUCGAUUAACAAUGAGGAAUUUUACAAAGGGAUAAUAGGAGAUCGUGAAAGGGAAUUAAAUAUUCCUGUAUACAAGAUGCCCCAGUUCUUUCCCUCUUUGUCAAAACUUUAUCGACGCCCUCAAGUGUGAAUAAGAAGAGGACAAAGGAUGCAUUCUUAUCUAAAAAUCUAGAAGAAAUCUAGUCUAUCAACAGUUAUUUAACCCUUCUUUUUUCAGACAUCACACCUUUUUUUAUAAUAAAUCUAAAUGCAGUUGAGAGGAAUAUUAAGAUGAAUCAAUCUUCUCGCACUCCUACGUAGAAAAUUACGAAACUUUAAAUGAAGUUCGUUGAAAUCGUUAAAGCGGAUUUCCUUGUUUUAUACGGAUGUUUUUAUUUACAUUAAGUUAACGAAUAAUAGAUAGGCGAUCGAGAAAAUGGAUCAAUGGAAUAUGUAAGAACAUCAUAGACGGAAAGACACGACGUUUUCUUUUCCAAAGUUAGUUUUUACUCACUUUAUGAUCAUUUUAUUUACUCUGUACGUAUACUAUAUUACGUUGUUCAAAACUUUCUACUUUUUUUUUUUUAUUCUCCCUUGUCACAACGCAAUUUUCAUUUUAAUUUAAAUAAUUCUAUCAGUUGAAUGUGUCAACCGGAAAAUUCUUAUAAUGAAUUUCGAAACUUUUUCCAUUGUUCAUCAUCCCCUUUUUAAAUAUCGAGUGGUUGCUUUUAACUACAUCGUGUUAUAAAGUUUCUUUAUCUAUUAUUCGUUUCUUUUUUUUUUUCUUUUUCUUUUUUGAAAGAACUAAUUCAUUUGUACAAAAUUAAUUUAUAUCGCUCGUUUCAAUUUUUUUUUUUUGAACAAUACAUUUAUUUCACGUCAAUAGAUGCAAUUUGUUUCAAUAAAUUGCAAUCCAUUGUACGCUUUCCACGCGUUACAUCGAACGAUCAUACCUUAAAUAUAUCGAAUGGUGUAAAAAAAUUUCACGAAAAAUUUCAAUAACUGUGAACAAUCGUAACGGACUUGUCGAAUCUGUUGCAUAAGAGAGAAAUAAUAAAAUCCUGGUGAAAAAAAAUAAACAGUAACGAUGGUAAAACGAUUCAUCAUCGAUCGUUGCUCGUUCGAACGUGAUAUUCGUUCCGCUAACCUCAAAAUUGAAGCUCGCGAAAAGUACCUGGCCGGCCACUUCAUUAACACCGUCGAAUCUCUAAACUUAACUUCUAAAUUUUCCUUCCUUUUUUUUUCUCGAAUCGUUUAUCAUCUUUUCCAUUCUCGAUUCAUUAAUAACGAAAGAAAUAAUACUCGAAUAAAGAAGUGGAUGAAUUAUUAUUCAUUUCACUAUAAAUCUACGUUUAAUCAAAUAACGUUUAAAUUUUUAAAUCUGUUCGACUUUUAAAUUCUUACAUGAUUUAAGUUCGAAUCGAUUGGUUUCUAUCU